This 301-nucleotide ribosomal RNA is filed under the name uncultured bacterium. RNAcentral's name for it is "partial 16S ribosomal RNA". It matches the Rfam family "Bacterial small subunit ribosomal RNA", at positions 509 to 807 of the family's 1533-position model. The record is from RNAcentral.
CAGUAGCCGCGGUAAUACGAGGGGGGCAAGCGUUGUUCGGAAUUAUUGGGCGUAAAGGGUGCGUAGGCGGUUUGACAAGUCAUCUGUGAAAUCUCUGGGCUCAACCCAGAGUCUGCAGGCGAAACUGUCGGGCUUGAGUAUGGGAGAGGUGAGUGGAAUUUCCGGUGUAGCGGUGAAAUGCGUAGAUAUCGGAAGGAACACCUGUGGCGAAAGCGGCUCACUGGACCAUUUCUGACGCUGAUGCACGAAAGCUAGGGGAGCAAACAGGAUUAGAUACCCCAGUAGUCCCUGUCUCUUAUAC